UACGGAGGGUGCGAGCGUUGUCCGGAAUCAUUGGGCGUAAAGGGCGCGUAGGUGGCCCGGUCAGUCUGUGGUGAAAGCGCGGGGCUCAACCCCGCGUCGACCAUGGAUACUGCUGGGCUGGAGCACUGUAGAGGCAGGCGGAAUUCCGGGUGUAGCGGUGGAAUGCGUAGAGAUCCGGAAGAACACCGGUGGCGAAGGCGGCCUGCUGGGCAGUUGCUGACACUGAGGCGCGACAGCGUGGGGAGCAAACAGG
RNAcentral lists this ribosomal RNA (253 nucleotides) under uncultured bacterium. Its description in RNAcentral is "partial 16S ribosomal RNA". It matches the Rfam family "Bacterial small subunit ribosomal RNA", at positions 524 to 776 of the family's 1533-position model. The record is from RNAcentral.